RNAcentral lists this ribosomal RNA (490 nucleotides) under uncultured bacterium. RNAcentral's name for it is "bacterial SSU rRNA". It matches the Rfam family "Bacterial small subunit ribosomal RNA", at positions 28 to 507 of the family's 1533-position model. The record is from RNAcentral.
GAUGAACGCUAGCUACAGGCCUAACACAUGCAAGUCGAGGGGAAACGGCAGCUUAGCUUGCUAAGCUGGACGUCGACCGGCGCACGGGUGAGUAACGCGUAUCCAACCUGCCCCACGGUGAGGGAUAACCCGCGGAAACGCGGCCUAAUACCUCAUGGCCUCCGAGCUUGACAUCAACCUUGGAGUAAAGAUUCAUUGCCGUGGGAUGGGGAUGCGUCUGAUUAGUUAGUCGGCGGGGUAACGGCCCACCGAGACGACGAUCAGUAGGGGUUCUGAGAGGAAAGUCCCCCACAUUGGAACUGAGACACGGUCCAAACUCCUACGGGAGGCAGCAGUGAGGAAUAUUGGUCAAUGGGCGGAAGCCUGAACCAGCCAAGUAGCGUGCAGGACGACGGCCCUAUGGGUUGUAAACUGCUUUUAUGCGGGGAUAAAGUGGGCCACGCGUGGCCUUUUGCAGGUACCGCAUGAAUAAGGACCGGCUAAUUCCGUG